RNAcentral lists this ribosomal RNA (1481 nucleotides) under metagenome. RNAcentral's name for it is "bacterial SSU rRNA". It matches the Rfam family "Bacterial small subunit ribosomal RNA". The record is from RNAcentral.
AGAGUUUGAUCCUGGCUCAGGAUGAACGCUGGCGGCGUGCCUAAUACAUGCAAGUCGAACGCUUCACUUCGGUGAAGAGUGGCGAACGGGUGAGUAAUACAUAAGUAACCUGGCAUCUACAGGGGGAUAACUGAUGGAAACGUCAGCUAAGACCGCAUAGGUGUAGAGAUCGCAUGAACUCUAUAUGAGAAGUGCUACGGGACUGGUAGAUGAUGGACUUAUGGCGCAUUAGCUUGUUGGUAGGGUAACGGCCUACCAAGGCGACGAUGCGUAGCCGACCUGAGAGGGUGACCGGCCACACUGGGACUGAGACACGGCCCAGACUCCUACGGGAGGCAGCAGUAGGGAAUUUUCGGCAAUGGGGGAAACCCUGACCGAGCAACGCCGCGUGAAGGAAGAAGUAAUUCGUUAUGUAAACUUCUGUCAUAGAGGAAGAACGGUGGAUAUAGGGAAUGAUAUCCAAGUGACGGUACUCUAUAAGAAAGCCACGGCUAACUACGUGCCAGCAGCCGCGGUAAUACGUAGGUGGCGAGCGUUAUCCGGAAUUAUUGGGCGUAAAGAGGGAGCAGGCGGCACUAAGGGUCUGUGGUGAAAGAUCGAAGCUUAACUUCGGUAAGCCAUGGAAACCGUAGAGCUAGAGUGUGUGAGAGGAUCGUGGAAUUCCAUGUGUAGCGGUGAAAUGCGUAGAUAUAUGGAGGAACACCAGUGGCGAAGGCGACGAUCUGGCGCAUAACUGACGCUCAGUCCCGAAAGCGUGGGGAGCAAAUAGGAUUAGAUACCCUAGUAGUCCACGCCGUAAACGAUGAGUACUAAGUGUUGGGGGUCAAACCUCAGUGCUGCAGUUAACGCAAUAAGUACUCCGCCUGAGUAGUACGUUCGCAAGAAUGAAACUCAAAGGAAUUGACGGGGGCCCGCACAAGCGGUGGAGCAUGUGGUUUAAUUCGAAGCAACGCGAAGAACCUUACCAGGUCUUGACAUCGAUCUAAAGGCUCCAGAGAUGGAGAGAUAGCUAUAGAGAAGACAGGUGGUGCAUGGUUGUCGUCAGCUCGUGUCGUGAGAUGUUGGGUUAAGUCCCGCAACGAGCCAACCCCUGUUGCCAGUUGCCAGCAUUAAGUUGGGGACUCUGGCGAGACUGCCGGUGACAAGCCGGAGGAAGGCGGGGAUGACGUCAAAUCAUCAUGCCCCUUAUGACCUGGGCUACACACGUGCUACAAUGGACAGAGCAGAGGGAAGCGAAGCCGCGAGGUGGAGCGAAACCCAUAAAACUGUUCUCAGUUCGGACUGCAGUCUGCAACUCGACUGCACGAAGAUGGAAUCGCUAGUAAUCGCGAAUCAGCAUGUCGCGGUGAAUACGUUCUCGGGCCUUGUACACACCGCCCGUCACACCAUGAGAGUCGGUAACACCCGAAGCCGGUGCCUAACCGCAAGGAAGGAGCUGUCUAAGGUGGGACUGAUGAUUGGGGUGAAGUCGUAACAAGGUA